Molecule: non-coding RNA, 693 nt
Organism: Chelonoidis abingdonii (Abingdon island giant tortoise)
Lineage: Eukaryota; Metazoa; Chordata; Testudines; Testudinidae
Source: RefSeq, a predicted model, not a curated record
ACCUGCCCCACCCCCCGGGAGGCCAGUCUCUGAGGGCAUGGGAGGAAGAGAGGGGCAAUCUGAAUGGGUUUUAAUGAGCCAUCCCAUUGGCUGGAGGAAAGGGGCAGAAACCGCCAACCUGCCUAGAUUGGGCCUGGGUCGGCUGGUUUGUGCCUAAGCUUGGAGAAGCGCAGAGCUCUGCUAUCUGGAGUUAGCCCAACCCCGGGGCCCAAGAGCUUUAGGGAGGUUUUGCACCCACUGCCCCCUUUCCUCAUUGCAUUUCAUGGAGAAGUGGGGAGGGGUCGGGCCUGGCUCGCUCCUGAGGACUGGUGAUGGUGCGCAGCCCGCUGUAGGACUCAGGCUGACCUUCCCCCACUGUCGAACCCGCCCCUCUGUCCAGGGAGGGGGGUGGGUUCAAACCACAGCCCGGUUCUGAGCAUUCCUACCUUGGUUCAAUACGACAGGCCAAGCCCAACCUGGUCCUGGGGCAUGCGUUAGUAUUUCUAUGUGCGCCGAUCAUCCGCGGGGAGGGCGAGCUGCAGCCCGCAAGAGCAGCUCCUGGCGCAGGCGGGAGGCCAUGGGCCCCCUGACCUGCAGUCACACAGGAGGGGAAAGGGGAUCUCAGCUGGUCUCUUGCUCUAACCUCCCCAUGCACCACAUGAUCCAAGCUGUGACUUGCAGCCCCGCUGAAGCGAAUAAAGCUCUUUAAAUGAA